CCUAGGAUCAUGAAGCUUCAUGGGUAGAUUGAUCAUGACUUGCAGAUGACCCCUAUUGAUUUUGAGGUCACAAGGUCAAAGGUCAAGGUCACGGUCACCCGAAAUAGUAAAAUGAUUUUCGGAUGAUAACUCAAGAACGCUUUUGCCUAGGAUCAUGACACUUCAUAGGUACAUUAAUCGUGACCCGCAGAUGACCCCUAUUGAUUUUCAGGUCACUAGGUCAAAGGUCAAGGUCACAGUGACAAAAUUCGUAUUCACACAAUGGCUGCCACUACAAAGGAAAGCCCGUAUGGGGGGCAUGCAUGUUUUACAAACAGCCUUUGUUUACUUUUAAAGUACCUUGGGCCUCUUUCAGGUUGUAUUUCAUGCAGUUAAAGUUCAACUAUCGAGUGAUCAGCCAUAAAUCCUGGUUUUAUGUUGCAUGUGUCGAUAAUGUUUCAAAUAGAUUCGCAUAUUUAAAAAAAUCUUAUCUCCAAAAUAUUGCUGGUUUUGUAUUUGAGUGCCAGGUGAAUUUUCUUUCAUUAUGAUUAACUGUAUGCCAUAUGUCUAUCAAAUUGUAGUUUUCAAUUAUGUUAUGUAAAAUGUUCCUUUUUUUGGAGUGAGUAUAAAGAUUUUCACUUCUUUUAUCUCUUAUAAUGGGUUAAGAAUAUUAUUGAAAUCCUCUCCAACUAUAAUGUUCUUAUCUUGGUUAUUUAUUAUAACAUUUGGAUUCAUCUAUGUUCGGACCGUAAACGUUCAUUAAUGUUAAUUGUGUUUCGUGUAUUUUUAUAUCUAUACUUGCUUGUCUGCCAAUCAUUAUUUUCGUUCAAGUAAUCCACUGUUAUUCCUGUAUGACUUUUACUCAGACAAGCGAUGCCUUGUUUAUUUGUAUGUUGUCCGCUAAGAUAAAUAUCUCCGUCCCAACCACUUUUCAAUGUUUUUGCUAAGGUAUGUUUUAGGUGACUUUCCUGUAUAAAAAAGACAUAUAUUACUUUUUUUUUGUCUUACCAUUUGAAACUUUUAGUGCAUUUGUCUUUGUUAUUUAGCCCUUGUACAUUUACAGUACAUAUGUUAAUACUCACACAAAAGGACGAGAAUUGCAGGAUACCAUUCUUGUUCCAAACAUUUUAAAAUCAUUUUGUAGAGCUAGAUUAUUAGUUAGUAGUUCAUUAUGUCAAGUUAUAUUAAGCUUUGAUGUUAAAAACAAUUACCUUCAAUGUUCUACAGGUUGUUGAUACAUUGUGUUUAUUAAAUUGAUCUCAGCA
Dreissena polymorpha is the source of this 1244-nucleotide long non-coding RNA. RefSeq lists it as uncharacterized. NCBI's taxonomy places the organism in Eukaryota, Metazoa, Mollusca, Bivalvia, Myida, Dreissenidae. The transcript is spliced from 2 exons. The record is from RefSeq and is a predicted model, not a curated record.